UACAGAGGUCUCAAGCGUUGUUCGGAUUCAUUGGGCGUAAAGGGUGCGUAGGCGGCGCGGUAAGUCGGGUGUGAAAUCUCGGAGCUUAACUCCGAAACUGCAUUCGAUACUGCCGUGCUUGAGGACUGGAGAGGAGACUGGAAUUCCCGGUGUAGCGGUGAAAUGCGCAGAUAUCGGGAGGAACACCGGUGGCGAAGGCGGUUCUCUGGGCCUGACCUGACGCUGAGGAGCGAAAGCGUGGGGAGCGAACAGG
This 253-nucleotide ribosomal RNA is filed under the name uncultured bacterium. Its description in RNAcentral is "partial 16S ribosomal RNA". It matches the Rfam family "Bacterial small subunit ribosomal RNA", at positions 524 to 776 of the family's 1533-position model. The record is from RNAcentral.